Molecule: ribosomal RNA, 440 nt
Filed under: uncultured bacterium
Lineage: Bacteria
Description: bacterial SSU rRNA
Rfam family: Bacterial small subunit ribosomal RNA
Source: RNAcentral
AACGCGAAGAACCUUACCUGGGUUUGACAUCUCUGGACAACCGUAGAGAUACGGCUUCGGUAGCAAUACCGCCAGAAGACAGGUGCUGCAUGGCUGUCGUCAGCUCGUGUGGUGACAUGUUGGGUUAAGUCCCGCAACGAGCGCAACCCCUGUCCUUAGUUGCCAGCAUUCAGUUGGGCACUCUAGGGAGACUGCCGUGGUGAACACGGAGGAAGGUGGGGAUGACGUCAAGUCCUCAUGGCCUUUAUAUCCAGGGCGACACACGUGAUACAAUGGACGGUACAGAGGGUAGCGAAGGAGCGAUCUGAAGCUAAUCCCAAAAAGCCGUUCUCAGUUCGGAUUGGAGUCUGCAACCCGACUCCAUGAAGUUGGAAUCGCUAGUAAUCGCGGAUCAGCACGCCGCGGUGAAUACGUUCCCGGGCCUUGUACACACCGGCUAC